GAUGAACGCUGGCGGCGCGCCUAAUACAUGCAAGUCGAGCGAACAGACCAGGAGCUUGCUCCUCUUACGUUGGCGGCGGACGGGUAAGUAACACGUGGAAAACCUACCUACAAGCCCGAGAUAACUUCGGGAAACCGGAGCUAAUACCGGAUAAUAUAUUGGACCGCAGGGUUCAAUAGUUAAAGACGGUUUUGCUUUUACUUAUUGAUGGUUAGGGGCCGCAUUAGCUAGUUGGUAAGGUAACGGUUUACCAAGACAACGAUGGCUAGCCGGCCUGCGAGGGUGAUCGGCCACACUGAAACUGGGACACGGUCCAGACUCCGACGGGAGAGAGCAGUAGGGAAUGUGACGAAAUGGGCGAGGGCCGGACGGAGCAGCGGCGCGGGAGUGAGGGAGGUCUUCGGAUCGUAGAACUCUGCUACUAGGGAAGAACAAAUGUGUACGUAACUAUGAACGUCGUGACGGUAGUGGAUGAGAAAGCCACGGCUAACUACGUG
Molecule: ribosomal RNA, 497 nt
Filed under: uncultured bacterium
Lineage: Bacteria
Description: partial 16S ribosomal RNA
Rfam family: Bacterial small subunit ribosomal RNA
Source: RNAcentral